RNAcentral lists this transfer RNA (76 nucleotides) under Candidatus Paraimprobicoccus trichonymphae. Its description in RNAcentral is "tRNA-Val". It matches the Rfam family "tRNA". Rfam says of the family: Transfer RNA (tRNA) molecules are approximately 80 nucleotides in length. Their secondary structure includes four short double-helical elements and three loops (D, anti-codon, and T loops). Further hydrogen bonds mediate the characteristic L-shaped molecular structure. tRNAs have two regions of fundamental functional importance: the anti-codon, which is responsible for specific mRNA codon recognition, and the 3' end, to which the tRNAs corresponding amino acid is attached (by aminoacyl-tRNA synthetases). tRNAs cope with the degeneracy of the genetic code in two manners: having more than one tRNA (with a specific anti-codon) for a particular amino acid; and 'wobble' base-pairing, i.e. permitting non-standard base-pairing at the 3rd anti-codon position. The record is from RNAcentral. Lineage: Bacteria; Bacillati; Bacillota; Clostridia.
GGACGUUUAGCUCAGCCGGUAGAGCAUUCGCUUCACAUGUGAAGGGUCAGCGGUUCAAGUCCGUUAACGUCCACCA